RNAcentral lists this ribosomal RNA (704 nucleotides) under uncultured bacterium. RNAcentral describes it as "bacterial SSU rRNA". It matches the Rfam family "Bacterial small subunit ribosomal RNA", at positions 355 to 1064 of the family's 1533-position model. The record is from RNAcentral.
UAGGGAAUAUUGGUCAAUGGACGAGAGCCUGAACCAGCCAUGCCGCGUGUAGGAAGACGGCCUUGUGGGUUGUAAUCUACUUUUAUACAGGAACAAAUAGUCCAUGCGUGGAAAGUUGAGUGUACUGUAUGAAUAAGCACCGGCUAACUCCGUGCCAGCAGCCGCGGUAAUACGGAGGGUGCGAGCGUUGUCCGGAUUUAUUGGGUUUAAGGGGUGCGUAGGCGGUCAAUUAAGUCAGUGGUGAAAUCCUAUAGCUUAACUAUAGAACUGCCAUUGAUACUGGUUGACUUGAGUACAGACGAGGUAGGCGGAAUUUAUGGUGUAGCGGUGAAAUGCAUAGAUACCAUAAAGAACACCGAUAGCGAAGGCAGCUUGCUGGACUGUAACUGACGCUGAGGCACGAAAGCAUGGGUAGCGAACAGGAUUAGAUACCCUGGUAGUCCAUGCCGUAAACGAUGCUCACUCGAUGUAUGCGAUACACUGUAUGCGUCCAAGCGAAAGCGUUAAGUGAGCCACCUGGGGAGUACGCCGGCAACGGUGAAACUCAAAGGAAGUGGCGGGGGUCCGCACAAGCGGUGGAGCAUUUGGUUUAAUUAGAUGAUACGCGAGGAACCUAGUCUGGACUAGAAUGUGAGCUCAAUUCCCAGAGAUGGGAAGUUCUUCGGACGUGAAACAAGGUGCUGCAUGGCUGUCGUCAGCUAGUG